GCAGUCAGACAUUGGGCCAGAUGUACGUACAUUUGCAAACGGAGCGUUAUCAGCGCCACGGCCAAGCCACAGAAAACGCACGCUGUGAUACGUCAUCUUACGUCGUAUUUACCAAACCUGCAGUUCAUCAGGUAAUCAGUGCCCAUCUCUGCCCUGUAUACCGUAAGUUGCGCGCAAUGAAAAGUGCAAUUCAAUGGGCCUCCUUCUCUCUUUCUAUCAUAGAUCAGCCACAAACUCAAUCAAAACAGCAAAAACAAAGAUGUACCAAUAACAAAGUUGAUCUGCUUGUUUAUGAGGUUACAGUG
Molecule: long non-coding RNA, 305 nt
Organism: Etheostoma cragini (Arkansas darter)
Lineage: Eukaryota; Metazoa; Chordata; Actinopteri; Perciformes; Percidae
Exons: 3
Source: RefSeq, a predicted model, not a curated record